UACGUAGGGUGCAAGCGUUGUCCGGAAUUAUUGGGCGUAAAGAGCUCGUAGGCGGUUUGUCGCGUCUGCUGUGAAAACUCGGGGCUUAACCCCGGGCCUGCAGUGGGUACGGGCAGACUAGAGUGCGGUAGGGGAUACUGGAAUUCCUGGUGUAGCGGUGAAAUGCGCAGAUAUCAGGAGGAACACCUGUGGUGUAGACAGCUUACUGGACCAUUGCUGACGCUGAGACACGAAAGCGUGGGUAGCAAACAGG
This 253-nucleotide ribosomal RNA is filed under the name uncultured bacterium. RNAcentral describes it as "partial 16S ribosomal RNA". It matches the Rfam family "Bacterial small subunit ribosomal RNA", at positions 524 to 776 of the family's 1533-position model. The record is from RNAcentral.